UUUUAGCAAAUAGUGAGUUCGUUAAACUUUCUGUGAUACAAACUUGAAGUUCUUUUUUUAUUUUUAUUCAAGGGUAAAUAAAUAAAAAAAGAAUUAAUUUAAUUUGAAUAAAGGAUACCACUCUUGACAAAGAAAAGGUUGGUCCAUCUUUUUUUUAUUUACGCAUCCUAUUUUUCCUAUUUUUUUUUUUUUUGAAGGGGGAGGGGGUUGCUAACUCAAUGGUAGAGUACUCGACUUUUAAGUGCGACUCCAUUUUUUACACAUUUUUAUGAAGCAAUUGUUUCGUCCAUAACCUCGGUAGGGUUUGUAAGACCACGAUUGAUCCAGAAAGGAAUGAAUGGAAAAAGCCGCAUGUCGUAUCAA
Molecule: long non-coding RNA, 363 nt
Filed under: Arachis ipaensis
Lineage: Eukaryota; Viridiplantae; Streptophyta; Magnoliopsida; Fabales; Fabaceae
Description: long non-coding RNA (AIPA_LNC001206)
Source: RNAcentral